RNAcentral lists this long non-coding RNA (1144 nucleotides) under Homo sapiens (human). Its description in RNAcentral is "HSALNT0057117". Lineage: Eukaryota; Metazoa; Chordata; Mammalia; Primates; Hominidae. The record is from RNAcentral.
UGUCUUGCUCUGUCACCCAGGCUGGAGUGAAGUGGCAUGACCUUAGCUCACGGCAGCCUCAAAUUACUGGGCUUAAGUGAUCUCUUUCAAAUCAAGAACCUGAGACACAGAGAAUUAAGUAACUUGUCAAAAGUCCCACCGUUUGCUUUAUCUGCAGGGAGUCAUCAGUUAAAUAUGCCAGAUGAAGAGUUUGUGAUGGAGAACACUUGCUGGAUCAAAACCAAGAAUGAAAGGGAUACAGAAGAAAACCAAGUUGAUGAAGAGAAAUAUCAGAAAGCUUGUCUUCUGAAAUCUUCUGAGAAAGAUAUAAGAAAUUAUAAGCAUAAUGACUACAGCAGGAUUGUAAAACUGAGGACUGUCUUUCACAGUUUUUGGUGAGAAGCAGUCUGAAAUCACAGCUAAUGCAAGGACCCAUGCUGAGCACAACCACCUUCCUGCUGCUGAGAGUGGAUCACAGGGCUACCAGUAGAGAACUUGGUUUGUCUCACUCUGCAAAGGUUUUCUUCUUCCAAGUUUAAUGUCUCAAAUCUCAAAUCAUCUGCUAAUAGUAAUGUGGUACAUAUGUAGAGUCCUUUAUAUUUAUUAUAUUUUAAAGAUAUUUUUCUUUAUUUGCAUCCAACUUCGAAACAUAGUCACUAAUUCCAAGUCAAAGCAAUGUUAUUUUACUAAUUACAUCUUUACAUGUUAUAUCUCAUUUUUAGUAAUUCCUUAAUUUUAAUUUAUAACUUUAUGAAACUUUGCAUUUAGAUCAAUAUAUCAUUUUAAAGUAAUAUAAUUUUCCCCAUUUAUAAAAUAACUUUAUUGGCCUUGUUGUCUUCCCAGUCUCUCUUUUUAUGUAUUCUUGACAUAAAGACUUAUUGUUUUUAUUCUGAUCAAUCAAUUACUAUUUUUUUCAAUAAUGCUUCUUAUAAAGCUCAGUGACAAUAUACAUGUCAUACCUGCUCUCCUUCUCUUAAAUACAUAAAACCACAGUGCCAGAAAAGCAUUAUUCAAGUUAGUUAAAAGAUUUGGUGAAAAAUGGUAAUAACAAAUUCUAGAACUUUUUAAAAAUUCACCUCCACCCACCCUCAACCUGAAAAAUCCAAAUUUUUCUUAUAUGUUAAUAGUGUAUAGAGAAGAGAUUGACCCUGCCCCCUGCCCCACC